This 1145-nucleotide long non-coding RNA is filed under the name Piliocolobus tephrosceles (Ugandan red Colobus). RNAcentral's name for it is "lncRNA (ENSPTEG00000019083.1)". Lineage: Eukaryota; Metazoa; Chordata; Mammalia; Primates; Cercopithecidae. The record is from RNAcentral.
CAAAGACUUAUAAUAAAAAUUUAGAUAAAAACACAUGCAAAUAUAAUGGACACAAAUUAUUUUAUUCUUUUUAUGAAAUAUGUAAACUUUUUGGAAUUGAUCAAAAAUGGUAUAAAAGUAUAACAUUUGAAAAUGUAAUAUAUAUACAUGUUUUAAUUUGAAUAUAAGGAAACAAAAUAGUUUAUUAUAAAUAUUUAUUAAAAUAUUGUAAAACACGUUUUUUUUUUUUUUUUAUACAGUGUAAAAUAUAAAUAUAUAGUUAGGGUACCUUCUUUGUGUCUGUAUGUCGUUAAUGGUUUUUCAUUUUCAUUUGUAAAAGCUCAACAAAUAUCAUUUAAAAAAUGUACAAGAGAUUAUAAAUUGUUGCAUUAUAUAUAAUGGCAAUGUUUGAUUAUGUUAAACAUUUGUAUUGGAUUAUAAAGAAAAGUUAAUAUGCGCAUAAAUUUGUAUGUAUUAACAUAUUACUAAAAAUUAAUAUUAUAUAUUUUUAUUUUUUGAAAAUAUUAAUUGUUAUAUGUAAAACAAAAUACGUAAUACGAUUAUAUACAUGUUCGUAUAUAUACGCUCACAUAUAUAUAUAUAUAUAUAUAUAUAUAUAUAUACAUAUACAUAUACAUAUGUUUUAAAAUUCAUUAAAUAUUGAAGAUUUAACAGUUUUAUAUUAUUGUAUUUAUGUAUUUUUUUACAUAAUAUUAACAUAUAUACAACAUAUAAUUAUAAUUGCAAAUAGAAUCAUUCAUAAUACAUAUAAUAAAAGUAAUCAUGCAUUAUAAUUAUUGCUUCACAAUUUAAGUUCAUAAUAUUGCAUUUGUCGUAUAGCUUUUCGUUAAAUUUGAAAAUAUAACUAAUCAUAAUGGCAGAAGGUGACCCAUUUGAUAACGAGUAUGAGAAUCAAAACUUAAGUACUCUACUUACAAAUACAUAUAAUAUGGAAAAUGGAAAUGAAACUGGAAUAUUAUUACAUAGAGUCUUGUGAAACGUUACUAUAUAGCCUAUUAAUUAUGGACAGUUGUUACCUCAUCAUGUGACUGUUUUUAUUCUGUUAACAUAUUUUAUAGUGUUAAUUAUAAUAAUAUUUAUAUGUAUAUGUCUAUACAGAAUGAUAAACAAUGUAAGAUUAGUAUAAAUAUAUAUAAAUACAUUUG